RNAcentral lists this small nuclear RNA (77 nucleotides) under Hucho hucho (huchen). RNAcentral's name for it is "Flavo-1 RNA (ENSHHUG00000019408.1)". It matches the Rfam family "Flavo-1 RNA". Lineage: Eukaryota; Metazoa; Chordata; Actinopteri; Salmoniformes; Salmonidae. The record is from Rfam by way of RNAcentral.
CCAUAGCCCUGAUAGAAGGGAAAAUCCUUGUUUGCCGGUGUUCGGCAAAUAAGAUUGGAAUGAUAGCGGGAAUAGCU